This 493-nucleotide ribosomal RNA is filed under the name uncultured bacterium. RNAcentral's name for it is "partial 16S ribosomal RNA". It matches the Rfam family "Bacterial small subunit ribosomal RNA", at positions 29 to 507 of the family's 1533-position model. The record is from RNAcentral.
ACGAACGCUGGCGGCGUGCUUAACACAUGCAAGUCGAACGGAAAGGCCUGCUUUCCCUUGUGGAUUGCGGGUACUCGAGUGGCGAACGGGUGAGUAACACGUGAGUGAUCUGCCCCCAACUUGGGUAUAAGCCUGGGAAACUGGGUCUAAUUCCCGAUAGGACUGCAGGGUGGUGCCUGUGGUGGAAAACGAUUUUCUAGUGGUUGGGGAUGAGCUCGCGGCCUAUCAGCUUGUUGGUGGGGUAAUGGCCUACCAAGGCGGCGACGGGUAGCCGGCCUGAGAGGGUGGACGGCCACAUUGGGACUGAGAUACGGCCCAGACUCCUACGGGAGGCAGCAGUGGGGAAUAUUGCACAAUGGGCGGAAGCCUGAUGCAGCGACGCCGCGUGGCGGAUGACGGCCUUCGGGUUGUAAACUCCUUUCGACCGCGAGGAAGCCACCUGGUUGGAAGGGUGGUGACGGUAGUGGUAGAAGAAGCACCGGCUAACUACGUG